AAGGGCCGGGCAAGACCGGUGCCAGCCGCCGCGGUAAUACCGGCGGCUCGAGUGGUGGCCACUAUUACUGGGCUUAAAGCGUUCGUAGCUGGUUUGUUAAGUCUCUGGGGAAAUCUUCCGGCUUAACCGGAAGGCGUCUCAGGGAUACUGGCAGACUAGGGACCGGGAGAGGUGAGGGGUACUUCAGGGGUAGGAGUGAAAUCCUGUAAUCCUUGAGGGACCACCUGUGGCGAAGGCGCCUCAGCAGAACGGCUCCGACAGUGAGGGACGAAAGCUGGGGGAGCAAACCGGAUUAGAUACCCGGGUAGUCCCAGCUGUAAACGAUGCGCGUUAGGUGUAUCGAUGACCACGAGUCAUCGAGGUGCCGAAGAGAAAUCGUGAAACGUGCCGCCUGGGAAGUACGGUCGCAAGGCUGAAACUUAAAGGAAUUGGCGGGGGAGCACCACAACGGGUGGAGCCUG
This 461-nucleotide ribosomal RNA is filed under the name uncultured archaeon. RNAcentral describes it as "bacterial SSU rRNA". It matches the Rfam family "Archaeal small subunit ribosomal RNA", at positions 437 to 897 of the family's 1478-position model. The record is from RNAcentral.